UUUUUAAAAACAUAAAUAUAAAUUUUAAUUAAAAUAAUAUAAUAAAUUACGUUGUUAAAUUAGAAAUGCAGUCAUUAGCACUCAUUCGAUAAUCGAAGAGAAAGGCACUGGCCUGGGAAGAAAGCUUAUGAUGGUGGGCCCCCGAAGAAAUGAAAAGGGCUGGCGCGAAACUAAUCAGAGCUAGAAGAAAGACACCAUGGGGAGCUACACCCGCGCUUAGGAGAAGAAUCCUGUCUGACUGACCCUACCAUGAUUGAAUGACUGAGCUAUGCCAUGGAGGAAGUCUUUCUUUGAGCAUGCCGUGGAUAGGCUGCAAAGACGACGUUUUGAAAGCAAGAAACAUUAUUUUUAUUAGUUUUUUAAUAAUCUUUUAUAGUAAAAAUAUAAAAUUUAUAAUUUAUUUAAUAUUAUUUUUUUAUAUCUUGUGAUUUAAAGAUUACGUUUUUAAUAUAAAAAAGUAAUUAAAAUAAUUUUUAAAAUAUAAAUUUUUUAUUUGUUAUCUAUUACAUUUUGAAUAAAAAUAUAAUUUUUGAUAAAUUCUCAAUUAUGUUUUUAAAUUAAUAAAUAUAUAUUUUUGACAUUUUUAAGUAUUAUAAAUAUAUUUUUUAAUUAUAUCAAUUAUUAAAUUUCUCAAAUCCUAAACAUGGUUGAUAUAAAAAUAUUUAUUUUAUUUUAUUUUAAUUGAGAUUAAAUGUGAGAAAAUUUUAAAUUUUCUCCUAAAAUUUUAAAAAAUUAUAAAGAGAGGUGAAAAUUUGAUUUUGAAAUAUAUGGAUACUGUCAAGAAUUUAAAAUUACUUUUAAAAAUGAGAUUUUCGUAAAUCAAACAUGAAAAAGAUAUUCCCACAAAUAAAAUUAAAAAAAAAAUUUUAAAAUUUUUCGAACCAAACAUCUUAAUGUUGAGUAGAUACCACUAAUUUCCAUAUAGCAAAAAAAAUGAAUCCUUUUGUUUUUUUUUUUUUAAUUUUGAAAAUUUUUAAAUUCAUCAAUUUUAUAAAUCAUUUAUUAAAAAAUUAACAAAGUAAGUUACACCAACAUGAAUGCCUAUAUGAAGUUAAAUUAUAAUCUAAAUCUUUUUGUUUUUUAGAUUAGAAAUUUAUGUCAUGUAAGCAUUCUAUAACGUUUACAUAAUUUAUUUUGUUAAAUUUUUAAUAAAUGAUCGAUAAAAUUAAUGAAUUUAAAAUAUAUUUUUUGAAAGUUGUAAACAAAAAAAUAAUUUUAAAAAUUAUGAAUGAAAGUAAUAUAUUACUCAAAACUCAUAUAAUUUAAGUUAUAAUCACUCAAUAAUCAUAUAUUAUAUAUUAUUAUAUUACAAUAUAUAUAAACUUUGCUAGAUAAGCAUUUAUGUGGAUAAUUUUUUUAAAUAACAUGUGAGAUAGUAGUUUUAAAAGAGUAUUCAUUGAAUUUAUUCAAAUAUCAAAAUUACUUAAAUUAUAAUUGUAAAUUAAAUUAAUUUAGAGAUAUAUUUUUUAAAGUAAAAAUAUCAAAAUAUGAAAUAUUUUUUGAAUAAUUUUAAGUUUUUACUAAAUAACUUUAUUUUAUAAUUAUUUAAUUAUGAAAAAAGUUUCAACAUGUUUUAAAAUUAUAAAUAUUAAGUUUAUCAAAAUCUUUCAAAAAUUCACUAUAUUCUUUUAUCUUAAUUUGUAUCAAACAAAAUUAUAUGUUCAAAAAUUAUGUAAAUAUUGAAAACUCAAAUAGUUUUUUAUAUUAAAUUUAUAAAUAAUAAAAACUAUAUCCAUCUUAACACUAACUAUUAAUUUUAUACUUAAAAAAUAGGUAAAAAGGUUUUUUUUUUAUUUUUAUUUUUACCCCUUUUUAUAUAACUUUAAAAUUAUUUAUUCAAUCCUAAAUGUCAUCUAAGAGUUAUUAUACAAAUUAAAAACUAUGAAUAUGAUGUGUUACAUUAUUUUUUGUUUUGGAUUUGUAACGUUUUGAAAUUCUAUUGUUAUUAUAAUUUAUUUAUUCAAUUUGCAUAUUUCUUUUUUAAAAGUGUAUUCUAUUACUAGUGCGAACUUGUUUUUAUGAAAAACAAUAUUUUUUCAAUUUAUUUUUUUUCACACAUCUCCUUAUAUUUUUUCAUAUUUUGUACAAUAAUUUGAAUAAUAUUACAAAAGUGAAAGAAUGACUAUACUUUUUUUAUUAUUUAAUUAAUUAUUUGAUAAUAUAUGUUUUCAUUCUUUUAAGAAAGAUAUAUAAUUUAUUUUUAUUUGAUAUAAGACUUAAAGUUAGAAAUAUUAUUACAAAUAAAGAUGGUGCAAAAUGAAAACAUGCUUUUUAAAAGAUUUUUUUGACAAGUUAGUCAAAAAUAAAAUUUUUAUAUGUUAUAAAUUUAAAAAAUUUAAAUAUAAUUUUAAAUAAUUACUAACAUAUAUAUAUGAAAUAAAUAAAAUUAUUUCGUGCAUUGCACAUGCAUCACGAUAACGACAAUCCAAAAACCUAAUACAUUAGAAAAAAAUUAAAUAACCAAACGCAUACAAUUAAAACUUGAAUCUAUAACUUUAAGAUUUUAAGUUUUUUUUAUUGCCUAAUAAAAUAAUAUCUUAUUGACUUAUAUAUAACUAUUGAAUUAGUAUAUAAAAGAAAAUAAUUUUGUUUUAUCUCUUUAAAUUCUUAUAUAAGAUUUAUAGUUAAAAAUCCAAAAUUCCUGAUGCUAAAUUAAUAUUUGAUUGAUUUAUAUUUUACUCUUGAAUUAAUAUAAGAGAAAAUAAUUUUCUUAUAUUAGUUAAAAAUCCAAAUCAUUCACUCAAAAAGAAUUAAUUUUAUAAAAAAUUUUUUAUGUGUAAAUAUCUAAAAUUGAUUAAAAAUCUCAAUCUAACCAUUGUUAUCUAUUUAAUUCAUUUAUAUAUAUUAUCCAUAAAUUGAAAUUCUUAAACUAUUACUGGAAAUUGGCAAAAAAAACUCUUAUUUGAAAGCAUGGGCUUUGAGUUUUGGGCUGUGUCACCUUUCCGCAGACUGAACGCAUAUUCUAUAAUGACCAAAAAAAGCACAGAUCCCAAAAUACUCUCCACUUCUACAAGAUGAUUCAAGGAAAUUGACAAAGAUGAUUAAAAUCUCAUCAACAUUUCUAUUUAAUUCAUUUAUAUAUAUUAUCCAUAAAUUGAAAUUCUUAAACUAAUGCUGGAAAUUGGCAAAAAAAAAUCUUAUUUGAAACCAUGGGCUUUGAGUUUUGGGCUGUAACCUUUCCGCAGACUGAACAGAUCUUGUAUAAUGACCAAAAAAAAGCACAGAUCCCAAAAUACCCUCCACCUUUGCAAGAUGAUUCAAGCAAAUUGACAAAGAUGAUUGAGACGAGGUCAAAGUCGGUUCACCACCAAGGUUAAAAUAGACAAUUAAUCAUCCCUACAAAACCGCCAUAACCCAAAUAAAUCACUUAUUUUUCACACAUUUUCCCUGAGAAACUAAAAACAAGUAUAAAUCAAAACUGUCAAUCCAAACACGCCGUAGGGUUUUCUUCUCUUUCUGACUCACUUUUCUCUCUUUCAGCACAGAAUGAAAGAAAAACCCUAGCCUUAAACCUUUAGUUUACAUUAUUUAUCAUAUAAAAGCUUUACUUUUUAUUUGAUUUCUUCACUUUUAAGGUAAGCUCUCAAUACCCAUAUCUCAAAAUCCCUUUUUUCUUUUUCUGAUAUAUUCCAAGAUCUCUUCAAAAACCUGAAAUAAAAUCAAAUAAAGUUCCAAAUUGGGUUUGGGAAUUCAUCUAUACAAGAAAAAACACAAGGUAAAAUCAGUAUGGAUGAUGUUGAAAAGGCAAUACUGAUUAGCUUUGAUGAAUCAGGUGCCAUAGAUUCAGAGUUAAAAUCACAAGCAGUGAACUUUUGUCAGCAAAUUAAAGAAACCCCAUCAGUAUGUCGCCUUUGUAUUGAGAAGUUGUGUUUUUGCAAGCUUGUUCAGGUUCAAUUUUGGUGUUUACAAACUUUACAUGAGGUUCUUAGGGUAAAAUAUGGGUCCAUGAACUUGGAAGAGAAGAAUUUUAUUAGAAAGUCAGUUUUUUCAAUGGCUUGUUUGGAAAGUAUCGAUGAUAAGAUCUGCACUAUAUGGGAAAGUCCUGCAUUUAUAAAGAAUAAGCUUGCUCAGGUUUUGGUUACUCUGAUUUACUUUGAGUACCCUUUGAUUUGGUCAUCAGUUUUUGUUGAUUUCCUGCCUCAUUUGAGUAAAGGGACUGUGGUGAUAGAUAUUUUUUCUCGGCUUUUGAAUGCAUUAGAUGAUGAGUUGGUUAGUAUGGAUUAUCCGCGGACACCUGAAGAGUUGGCAGUUGCAGGAAGGGUUAAGGAUGCAAUGAGGCAGCAGUGUGUGCCUCAGAUUGUCAGAGCAUGGUAUGACAUUGUGUCUACGUAUAGGAAUUCCGACCCUGAAAUUUGUACUACUGUUUUUGAUUGUAUGAGCAGGUAUAUUUCCUGGAUUGACAUUGGGUUGAUCGUGAAUGAUGCAUUUAUUCCUCUACUGUUUGAGUUGAUUUUGGUUGAUGGUAUCUCGGAACAACUUCGUGCUGCUGCUGCUGGAUGUGUUUUCGCAGUGGUUUCUAAGCGAAUGGAUGCAUAUGCAAAAUUAUCUCUUUUGAAGAGGCUUGAAAUGACUCGAGUUUUUGGUUUGAUAUCUGAUGAUAAUGAUUCUGAGUUGGUUUCGAGUGUAGCAGCCUUAGUUACAGGGUAUGCACUGGAGAUUUUAGAGUGUUCCAAGCGGGUCAACUCAGAAGAUGCUAAGGUGGUUUCCAUGGAGCUUUUAGAUGAAGUUUUGCCAACAGUUUUCUAUGUAAUGCAAAAUUGCGAGAUGGAUGCAGCAUUUAGUAUAGUUCAAUUUCUUUCAGGUUAUGUUGCCACCAUGAAAACCCUUUCUCCUUUGAAAGAGAAACAAAUGCUUCACAUAAGUCAGAUCCUGGAAGUGAUUCGUACACAGAUUCGUUAUGAUCCCAUGUAUCGCAAUAAUCUUGAUAUAUUGGAUAAGAUUGGGAUGGAAGAAGAAGAUAGGAUGGUGGAAUCUAGAAAGGAUUUAUUUGUGUUGCUUCGAAAUGUGGGUCGAGUAGCACCUGAAGUCACUCAGAUCUUUAUCAGAAAUUCAUUUGCUAGUGCUAUUGCAUCUUCGUCAGACAGGAAUGUGGAAGAGGUAGAAGCUGCCCUUUCCCUUUUGUAUGCACUUGGGGAGUCCAUGACUGAUGAGGCAAUGAGGGUGGGAACUGGGCUGUUGAGUGAACUGGUGACAAAUCUUUUAUCAACAAGGUUUCCUUGCCAUUCCAAUAGGCUAGUUGCCCUUAUUUACUUGGAGACAAUAACAAGGUAUAUGAAAUUUGUCCAGGAGAAUACACAAUAUAUUCCUUUGGUUUUGGCUGCCUUUCUUGAUGAAAGAGGCAUACACCAUCCAAACAUCUAUGUGAGUCGCAGGGCAAGCUAUCUGUUCAUGAGGGUUGUAAAAUUACUGAAAUCAAAGCUUGUGCCAUUCAUAGAGACAAUUUUGCAGGUAUCAUAUUAUCCGUCUCUCAUUGCGAUUUAGGUUACCAUAUUUAAUUGUUCUUCUAGUAUAUGUUUGUGAAUGUUUAUGUGCCACCUCCUUUCGAAAAUUGUCUACUGAAUUCUUUUGUUGAUGGUCAGAGCCUGCAAGAUAUAGUUGCUCGAUUUACAAGUAUGAAUUUAACAUCAAAGGAACCUGCAGGAUCUGAAGAUGGUGCUUACAUUUUUGAGGUAUUUAUCUCAUUCUUAUAUUUCUUCCCAGUUCCCACUUUUCGUGUUUUGGCAUGUUUACACAUGUAUUUCUUCUCUUAACGUGCACAUGGAUGGAUGUUCAUAAAUAUCCCUCCUUGUUUGCAAGUGAUGAGUUUUAUUUGUUGUCUUUGCUUUUCUUUUUCUGAGAGUUUUCACAGGCAAUUGGCCUUUUGAUUGGAAUGGAAGAUGUGCCGCUGGAAAAGCAAUCUGAUUAUCUCUCUUCAUUGCUCACUCCUCUUUGUCAACAGGUUUCAACUUGUAGUCUGAUAUAUUUUAUUGUUUUUGAGUCUUCUAUGUUUCAUGUGACCAAUUUAUGAGCAAAUUGAUGUUUGAUACAUAUGUCCUGCAGCAUUUUACUUAUAUGGUUUAUUUCACAGGUUGAGGCAAUGCUGAUGAAUGCAAAACGGUUGAAUCCAGAAGAUUCUCCACUAAAAAUUGCUAAUAUCCAGCAAAUAAUUGUGGCAAUUAAUGCUCUGAGCAAGGUUACUCUUCUAUCCUUUGACCAUCUAAUAUGCUCCUUGGUGAAAAGUUUUUCCCUAAAUAUUGUUGCCUUUCAUAAAAAAUCUUCAGUUGCCUAUUGUUUUAUUACCAUCCUAAGAUCUUCUAAUAUUAUGAUACUGGGUUAGAAAGUUUUCCCUUAAAAUUGUUGUGUUUCAUUUUAUAUCCAAUCCAUGAUGGUAUAACCAUUUACUAUAGCAUAUAGUUCAUACUUGUGAUGCAAAGAUCCUUAUUUUCCUAGUUGUUUUAAUUUGUUUGGGAAUUGGGAUGCUUCUGUUAGGAAAUAUAUGAAACUCUAGUUCUCUUUGAGAUUUUGUUUCUCAAAUCCCUCUUUGUUGGGCUACAUAGAAACAUGUCUCACAUGCUGUUAAAGCUUUAAGCUUUCUUUUAAUUGUUAAUACUUAAUUUGAGUCUUGAUCCUGCAUGGAGUUUAUCUUCAUAAGUUUAUUUCUAAUGCAGGGUUUCAGUGAGCGCCUUGUAACUGCAAGUCGCCCUGCAAUUGGUCACAUGUUUAAGCAGGUUAUUUUAAGAUGGAUGAUUUUAUUUGUACUUUAACUGCACCUCUUCUUGCGCUCACGGUUGAGAAAGUUCCAUCAUUAUCACCGCCUCCAGUAGUUCAUAUGGAUCUUUUUGUUUCUUUGUUUUAAAUUAAAUAUAUGGAUGUGCGAGAAGGAAACCAUGCCAUUGUUUUUUCUCUUUUUAUCUCUUAUUAUUUAUUAAAUUUGGCUUAAUCUCUUUGUGAUCCAGACAUUGGAUGUUCUUCUCCAAAUCCUUGUUGUAUUCCCAAAGGUAGAGCCUUUGCGGACGAAGGUAAGUGUUCAAUGCUGAAUAUUGGACAUAUUUGCUUAUUUGGUUUUGUUCUAACACAUUGCUCAAUGCUAAUCUUUUUGGUAUUUAGGUUUUAUCGUUCAUACACCGUAUGGUGGACACCUUAGGAGCAUCUGUGUUUCCUUACCUUCCAAAGGCAUUGGAGCAAUUACUUGCAGAAAGUGAGGUAGAAAACAGUUAAAAUUUAGCCUUCUUUAAUAUUCUGAGUUAGUAUUUAUACUGUCUUUGUAAAUUUUUAGUUCCACAAGUGGUGUUAAGAAAUUGACACAUAUUCCAUUUUUAAUUUUUUUUAUUUUUUAAAAUAUAUUCUAAGGGGCAUGUAUCACCCUUCUUACCCUGCUUGUCGAGUCUAAAAUCUCCAUUUUCAGUGUAUUUGAUAAUUUCUCAUGUUCUUUUCUCUCUUUUCUCUUUUCAAAACAAAAACAAGCAUGUAAUUAAAGAACAAUCCUCAAGUUAUUAUCUUUUAAUUAUUAAUCAAACAAAAUCUCAAAUGGGCGUUUGGCAUCUGCAUUAUUAGCUGCAUGGCUGGAUUUUCUUUUGUCAAAUAAUAUUGUUCCUGAUGCUGAGUUCAAGUUGUUAAUUAAUUAUUUAUUUAGUUAAACCAAUAUGAAAUGUGAUAUAAGUUGGAGUUACUUUUCAAAAGGAGUUUAGAUUGAUAUAUUUUAGUUGCAUAUAUAUUUGAUUCUGGAUUAUGUCCUUUUGUAGCCAAAAGAAAUGGUUGGUUUCCUCUUAUUGCUCAAUCAACUUAUAUGCAAAUUCAGCACCUUGGUCCAUGACAUAUUGGAAGAAGUAUUUCCUGCUAUUGCUGGUAGGGUAUUGAGUGCCAUCCAAAGUAUUGUUGAUUCUUCAGGACCUGAAGCCAAUACUGAGGUAGAUAAUCUUUAGUCGUGGGCAUUUAUGAACUUUCAUUAAUUUGUUGGGUCCUUGGCUCAAGUCUAACUUCUCUUCGUAGAGUGAAAUUAAGAUAUAUUCUUGUUUAGAGUUUUAUCUCUAGUAUUUUCUAUUGCAUUCAUUGUAUUGCCUUAUGAUUUGAUUUCAGCUCAUUUUCUCUCAUGAUAUUUCCCAGCAACUAUGUUGGUUGUCCGAACUUAGUUAAUAAGUUCUCUAUUCAAUUAGUAAAUUAGUCUUUUUCCUCCAGUUCAACUGUGAAACACUGCAUUAGCACCUCUUAUGAGAAUCUGCAAGCUUAUGCCACUAAUGCAAUUCUUCCUCUGUGUUCAUUGAAACUUCUUCUUGUUGUAGGAAAUUCGCGAAGUACAAGAACUUCAAAAGACAUUAUUUACUUUUCUUCAUGUGAUAACUACGCAUGAUCUGUCUUCUGUUUUCCUUUCCCCCAGAAGCCGGGACUUCUUGACUGCAAUUAUGCAGUUGCUUUUACAUACAUCUUGCCAUCAUAAAGAUAUUAUUACAAGAAAGGUGAGUUAAUAGCUUUGUUGUUUUAUUAAUUACCUAAAGGAUUGGACAUUUUAGAAUUCUAGUAUGUUCAGAAAUUGGAUCUAACUUUCUGUUUUUGCCUUCUAUGAGAUAGGCUUGUGUACAGAUAUUUAUUAGAUUAAUUAAAGACUGGUGUGCCAGGCCUUAUGGUGAAGAAAAGGUUUGUUUCCCUUUUUAAAUUUCAUGCUUAGCUUUGUUGUUUGGAUUUAAUUAUGUUUAUGGCUCUAAGGGGCUAAACAUUUUUAGGUACCUGGUUUCCAAAGUUUUAUGAUAGAGACCUUUGCGACAAACUGUUGUUUGCACAGUGUGCUUGACAAAUCCUUCGAGUUUGGUGAUGCAAAUACUGUAAGAAUAACUUUUUUCAUUCAUUUAUUUUAUCUCAGUUUUACAGUUGUUGAUAAUCAUGCAUGAUAUCGUUGUUAGACUUACAGUAAUAACCUUUAUUAAUUUAUUUUGUCUAUGUGCUGCAGAAGCUGGCAUUAUGUAUUAUAUUCUUGUAGAAUUGCUUACGCCCAAAGAAAAAGAAAGGGAAAUAACAAUUUAGUUAUGUUUUUUUUAACUAGCAAGAUAGUAAUUAUAUUGAUUCUUCUUUUCUAAAAAAGAUGGAUUCAUUGCCUGUGUAAGACGAUAUUCAUUACUUUGCAUAAGUUUUGUGCAUUGUUGUUAUCUCAAGGAGAUCUGAAUAAAUAUUUCAGAAAAGGAUUCCGGCAUGAUAGUUUAAAAUGGUCUAAGGGUUUUUCUUUAUUACAGAAAAAGCUUUUUACGCUGGUGCAUUGCAUCUUUGCAUCCACAUGUUUUCUCAGGUAGCCAUGAACUUAUCCCUUGAUUGAAUGUUUUAAUGUGCAUGUGACUUGAAAUAGUGAAAGCCGAGUCAGAGUUUGGUGUGCAGUGAACCAACAAUAGAAGAAACUUGUAUUUCCUGUUCUGUGGGCUGAAAAAUCCUUAUAUGACAUUGCCUGUGAAGACUGUUAUUUGCUUUGCUUGAUUGACAAUGUUGCUUUACAUGUACGGAUAUGCUGAUGAUUGAUGUUCAUUUCUUCGUCUUUGCUCUUGUUACUUCUACUCUGUUUUCAGCUUGUUUUAUUUGGAGAAAUUGUGUUGGCUCAGAAGGUGAUGUAUGAGAAGUUUGGGGACGAUUUUCUUGUUCAUCUUGUAUCGAAAGGAUUUCCAUCUGCACACUGCCCUCGAAAUCUGGCAGAGCAGUAUUGUCAAAAGUUGAAGGUACUAUUCUUUACAAUCUAUUUAUAUUGUAUUUCCAUUCAUAUUGUUUCCCUGGUUUAUUACUACUUACAGCUCCUACGUAUAUUCUUUGAUUUUUAAUCAGCUUAUCUUUUAUUUUAUGUUGUAUUUAAUUCAUUGUUGGAUGAUACAAUGAAACUGACAGUGACAACAGGUUGGAACCUGCACUAGAACAGCCUCAAACUGUGACCUAAACCGGGUUUCUGAUAACCUUUCCAUUCUGAAAAUUACUUUAAUCAGUUACUUUUCUCUUAACUGUGUUACCAACUAGGUUUGUACCUUAGAUAUUGGUAUGGCUACUAAGAUCUAUAAAAUCAUAAAAGUAAACGUUGAAUGUUAACUCUAAUCCAAGAUCUCGAAGAUGGAAACACUUGCCACUUAAGUCAUCUAGGACAAAGUUACACUUAUUGUACUAAUUAAAAUCUAAACUUGCAUUCAUGAGACGUAGGUUGCUGUGUUUUGAGCUUGCUUUUCUGGCCCUAGGCUUGAUUAUCCCUAAUUGUUGGCACUUAAAGAAUACCUAGUUGGUAUUAUAAGCUUAAAUUCCACAAAUAUUGCUGCUGCUGCUGCUCUUAAGUUUUCUCUAUGCUUUGAUGGUUUUGAAUUGCAGGGUAGUGACAUCAAGGCGUUGAGAUCAUUUUACCAGAAACUUAUUGAAGACUUGCGUCUCCAACAGAAUGGAAGCCUUGUAUUCAGAUAGCAGCAUUAAGAUGGGAAAACGAUUAUUUGUCUUUGAUACUCUAAUACUUUUUCAGUUUUGUGUCGAACCCCUUUUUUUUCAUCCAAGGUUCCUCCUAACAUCCUGCAAUUGUGUCGUUUUCCUCUUUCAGAUAAAUUCUCUCACAUUUGCUUAUAUUAAGUUAAAUAUUGCAGGUUUCUUCAUGUAAAUAUCAUUUGUGUGCCCUAUUCCACAGACAAGGAGGUAUAUUUGAACCCCAGUCCUGGUUAAGUUGUUGAGAUUAUAGCUCUGUUUUGUGUUGGCAAUAAGUGGCUGAUAUAUUCCAUUUUCUUAUGGAUUCUACAGUUGUAUAUUUUCGGAAGCAAGCUUUCUUUGAAAUCAUGAAGUUUGGUUAAAUUCCUUCAGCUUCAACAUGCUGAGUAAGAUUAAAGUUUUUGUGAGAUCUGUUCAUAGUUUCUAUUUUUUAAUACAAUUUUCUUGGUUCAUUUUAUAUUUUCAAUUGUGUAUGUGACUGGAUUAUUACCCAAAAAAAAAAAAGAAAAAAGAAAAAAGAAAAUGACCAUAAGCAUCAAGCCAUUUCUUUUAUUCAUUGCUACUAUGCAAUAUUUAUUUUCAAUAAUCAGUGAUUAAGUUCUAUUAUGAAAUGAUGGAAUUAAAUCUCUUAUUCUUCAACACUAAGGACUAUUAUUUAAUAUUAAUGGUGAAGUUUUUAAAUUUCAUGAUAGAAUUAAAUGGUUGUCAAAUGAUUUUUAAAUAAUUCAUUAAAUAAUAGAUUAUUUAGUUAAAAUUUUACUUAAAUAUUAUAUAUUUUAAUGGAACAUGUAUUUAUUUUUUAAUUUUGAUUGUGAAAUUUAAAAAUCUUAAUAGCAUAUAAAAUAAAGUUUGUGAUUUAUAAAAUUAUAAUGAAAAAGGAUAAUAUUAAUCGUGUACCGGUUGUUUCUCUUUGGAUUAAUUGCAUUUUAGUUUGGUUAUGAAUGUAUUAAUGUUUUUAGCUAUUUAUUCAUUUUAACUUUAUUUUCAUAUUAUUCAAUAUUCACUAUACUUUCUUAGAAAAAAAUAAUUAAACAAAAAAAAACUAAAAAUUAAAAUAUUAUUAAUAAUGUCCCUAAAUUAAAAUAUUACGAUAAAUCUACUUUCCUCUUCUUUUGUCACGUGUGAAAUGUCCUUAAAUUAAAAAUGUUGGUAUAUUGGAAAAAAAAAUUAUAAAAAAAAAUCGUUUUAAUGGGAAUUAGACCAGGAUACAGCAAUUGCUUUUCAAUGUUUAUUUUUCUAAGUAUUAUAAUACGAAUAGUUUAAAAGAAAUUCAUGGUAGAGAAUGGAUCAAAGUUCUUAUGCAUCAUUACAAAACUUAUUAAUAUAUUUAAAAUACUAAAAUAUUAAAAUUAAAAACAAUAACUGAGUCUGACCGUAUUAAAUGGAAUUCUAAUAUCAAAAAUAUUAAUUGAAUUUGAUCGACUGGCAUAUGAUACACGUUUAGAAAGCUGCCUGUCUUAUUGAUCCGAGUCCAAGAAUUUGUGGCUUAAAAGCGUUAGGCAAAACAAGGCGACUGGUACAGCCCAUCAGCGUGAAUGACUCGUUGUGACAUUGAUAAAUACUCCGUCAACCAAUAAUUUUUUAAUUUCAUUGCAAAUUUUUGGUUGUCUCCAAUUUCUGUCUACUACUCUAUCCUUGAGAUGACAACGGGAGAUGGAUGAAAAUCCAUCUCUAUUUGGAUUUUUGCUCAUCUCGAUUUUGAUUCCAUUUUAAAAAUAUUUUAUUUGAUUUUAAUUUGAUAUCGAAUUAUUAUUUUUUAUAAUUAAUUUUGAUUCAAUAUAUAUAUAAAUAUAUAUAAUUCGUAUUUAAUUUAAUUAUAUUAUUUAUAAAAUAUUAAAUAAUUUUAUAUUUAUAUAUAUAUAUAUAUAUUUAUAUAUCACGGCAGGCUAGGGUACAAUACCUCAAAACACGCCCGACCUAACCUCAACAUUUUAAAAAUAUCUGACUUGUUUUCGAUCAUAUCUCUAAUUUUUUUUUAAAAAUAUGACCUUAUCAUACCGAAAGGUUGGAAUCCAUUUACGACUUGCUUAAUUACCUUUUUUUUUUUUUUUGGACCACAUAUAAAAUAGAAUGUCUUUUUUUUUUUUUUUUUUUCAAUUUUGGCUCUCCUCUAUUCCUCAAGUAUGCAUUUGUUUUUCUUUUUCUUGAAAUUAGCAAGGAUUAAAUAUUAAUUAUUGAAAUAAAAAUUUAAUAUUUUAUUAAUAAAUUAUACAUAUAUAUAUAAGUUGACCGAUAAAUAUUUUGACGCUUUGUAUUACCACUAAAAUAAAAUAUAUAUAUGUAUAAUUUAAUAUUUUAAGUUUGAAUUUUUAAAAAGAUGUAAUAGAUAAAGAAAAAAUUACUUCAAAUUAUAUCAGUAGUCCAAGAAUUUAUGUAGUAAAAUAUAAUGACCAUUAACGACUUGGUUGCGAAGAGUAAGAUUCAAAAGGGUUUUAUAAAAAAUUUAUUAACAUUAAAGGUUUAAUGAUUUAUUCAUUGACCAGACUAGAUUAUCUUGUGGAAAAUUCAGAGAAAAAAAGUACAAACUCCAAACAAUUAUAUCAAGAAUUGGAAAAUUUGCUUUGUUGGAUUGCAGUCAUUUUGAUGCUACUUUCAAAAUCUAUGAUGACGUUUAAAGUUGGGGCUAUUGUUAAUACCAAAGUCAUUAUUAGAAGUUAGGUUAGAAAUUAGAAUUAAUAAUUUGGAAUUUUCACUUUAAUUCUGUUAAGAAUAGCAAUAUUUACUUAUACAUUGUGCAACAAAUUAGGUCAAAGUAAUUAACAAUAUCAAUUAAAUUUUAAUUUUAAAAGUACCGAAUUUGAAUAUUAAUUUAAUAAUAAAUAUCUGUCUCGGACCAGACUUUUUUUUUUAAUUUAAAAGAAAAUUUUAAAGAUUCGUAAAAAAUAUAAAUUUAUGAGAAUCUAAAAAUUGUAUAUGGAACCAUACUUACCAUUUAAGAUUUUGAUGAAAAGGCAUGAAAAGUAGGAUUAGAUAAAAAGUAAAUGUACUUGUGUUGCUAAAGAGACCCAAAUGAGCAGUCAAUGGUCAUUUCAUCCUUAGUGUUAUCGUCUUCCCUUGUGGAAAAGUAAUUGGAUUGAAUUUAUAUACAUAUAGUUGUGCCAAUUCAUUUAACCAAAAAUUACCCAAAAAAAAAAAAAAAAAACAAAGAGUUGUAAGACUUCCCCUCAAUACAGAGGAAACUGUUGGUGAUGACCAUCUAGAUUUUGUAUUGUCAAGUCAUUCAUGAAUUGAAAUAUAUUAGCCGUACAUCGAUGACUUGUUGAAUGGUGGGGACUUUAAAAAAAAUCAUCUAUAACCUGACCAAUUAAAAAUCUAGAAGAAUUAUCAGCAAUUUGCAAAUCAAAAAAUGGAGAAAGCAGAAAUUGAAGGGGGGGUGGGGACCUGACCAUUGUGUUAUAGCCAGAAUUUUUGAAGUUGAUCGGCUUAAUUAUAGCCAAUAAAUGCAGUCUCAGCUCUUGAAAGCGAGGGAUUUGUCGUUAAUGUUCUUCAUGAUUUGUAUUGACAUAAGUAAUAUGUUAUACAAUUAUUGUAGUGACAGAUUUUUUGCAUAAAAAACUUAUGAAAUUAUUAAAAGACCAUUCAUUUAUAGAAGAAAAAGUUACUACUAAAAUAAGUUAUUAUAAAAAAAAAUAUAAUUUCAUAAAAAUUGAGUUACAUGCUCGAUGUUUGUGUCACAAAAACGAUUGAAUCUUAAGCACCUGUUACAAUACCUUAGUUUAUGCCCUCGUUAUGGAUUGCUAUUGUGUAAUAACCUCUUGUGAAGGUAACCGAUUCUCUUGUUAAUUCAAUAUUUAUAGCCAGCUAAUAAUCUCAUCAACCUUGGUUUAGAAAACGCUUGUAGUUAUUUACUUCGAGCAUGUGUUGGAUUUUGAGGGUUUUACGAUCAAUAUUACAAGGCGAUUGUUGACAGUUUCAUACAAAAUUUUGAGUGUUUAGGUAAUUGAUCAAGACACAUAUAUAUGUGUCUAGAUUUAGAAAUUACCUUGCUUAUGCUAUCAUGUUUGCUUAAAAAAUUAAUAUCGUCUGAUAAUUUUUAAAUUGCAGAAAACGAAAGUCUACCAUGAUUUUGAUAUAUCAAUUAAUAUAACCAAUAAUGUUGAUAUGCUUGUUACUAGUAUUCAAAACUCUGAAAAAACCUAAAGUUUUGAUAUUUUCUUUUCAGUUUGUUUUUCAAUUUCAAUUCUCUAAUAAUAUUUUAGUAGGGAUCAAGAAUAUAUAUAUAUAUAACUUUGGUUUGGUUGUAAGCAUGAAAACAAUGGUAAGAUGAGGCAAAUGAAAUAAACCAGGUCAAUUAGGUAACUGGUAAUCUGCUUGCAUAUUUCUAGCUUGUCAGUAACCUCGUAACAGUUGUGAAGGAAUGGAUAUUUUUGUUGCGAAAAUUUUAAGAGCCAAACACUCCACCAUCAAACUUUACGACCGCUUGAGAAUGGAUUUUUUUGGCUUAUUAGAAAAAGGCACCUUUCUUUUCCUGUUCAUCCCACACAUGACAAUUCAAAGACAUGAAAGUGGAGAUAAGAGCCAACAGCCACAUAGACAUAGUACUAGAUUUUAUAAUACGAACGACUACGAGAAGUGUUCUCUCAUCAUCAGCCGGUUCAGACAGUCCCCAAGAAACCAGCUAUGAAACUGCAUAGAAGCCCAAAUUUAUGCAUUUGAAUGAAAAAACAGAGCCAAUUACCUUACUUUCUUUUUUUUUUUUAAUUAAGAUGAACCAUCCGGAGGUUUUUUCUGCCGAUAAACCUGUUAGCAAGUCUUGAGACUGUCCCAAAGUCAAUCAGCGUUAUGGCCAGUCUUAGAGACUUCUGGUUUAAAAAAUUCAUUAUUUAAAUGCAAUUUCACUAUCCAUGAGCUAUAAAAUUUUUCUAUAAACAAGAAUUGGGAGAGAAGGAAAAGAAGGUGAUUGGUUAUAGUCAGGUCAUAGAUGUUUCUUUUUAAGUCUUUUAAUCCAAUCAGAUUUCAUUCUACUUCCUGUUUCCUUUCCUGCUCGCGGCUCGGCCUUACUUAUUUUUGGUUAUACUAGAACUAAGAAUACAGUAUUCUUACGGCAAUUGACUUGAUUGUUGGCAGCCUUAUUUAAACCCACCUUUGAGCUUAAACUGUGAGCCUAACGCAAAAGGUUCAAUAAAAUAUGGCCCUCAAAAAGUAUUUGUCAUGUAAAAAUAUCCUCCCCAACUGCUUCAAACCCAAGGAUCCAUCCUCAGGGCCUAAAGUUCAUGCUUCCAAACAAAGUCCUAGCCGAAGGCUAUCACUCUCUGAUAUUAGCCACCAUGGUUCUCCACUGUCACUAAGCGAUCUGUCAAAUUCUCUUAUAAGCGUUCAUAUUUUUACCCUCAAGGAGCUAGAAGUGAUAACGCACAAGUUUUCCAUGAGUAAUUAUCUUGGUGAGGGUGGGUUCGGACCUGUAUACAAGGGGUUCAUUGAUGACAAACUCAGGCCUGACCUGAAGGCUCAAGCUGUUGCUGUUAAGGUCCUUGAUUUGGAUGGCACUCAGGGGCACAGGGAAUGGCUGGUAAGCAUUUAUAUGUUAUCAUUUCAAUCCUGUUCCUGAUAAAGUUGAGUUGAAGAUAGUAAAAUGAUCGGUAAUUCUGAUUUUCCAUAGGCUGAAGUUAUUUUCCUGGGGCAAUUAAAGCACCCCCACCUGGUGAACUUAGUAGGAUAUUGCUACGAGGAGGAGCACAGGCUGCUGGUGUAUGAAUACAUGGCCCGUGGCAACUUAGAAGACCAACUGUUUAAAAGUUCGUUUUGCUCUUCCCUUUCAAUUUGAACAUUUGGGAAUAAUCUUAAUCUUCAACUCAUGACUAAAAAUUAUAUAAUUCUUGCCUUUAAUGCAGGAUAUGGUCCACCAUUGCCUUGGCUAACAAGGUUGAAAAUUGCGGUUGGAACAUCAAAAGGCCUAGCUUUCCUUCAUGAAGAAGAGAAGCCAGUCAUAUACAGGGAUUUCAAAACUUCAAACAUCUUAUUAGACUUGGUAAAAUAUCACUCGCUUAAUAAUAUUAAAAAAGGAAUAUUAACUGUCCAUCACUAUUCUUUUUAUUUGUAAUUGUCGUAUUUAAAUCUUGACUAUAGAAAUUAAGAUAAUAUUUUUCACAUAAGAUGGUAAAUAAGAUAGAAUAAUAAUUAGUCUGUAUUAUAUUUUAUUUGUAUUUAAAAAAAAUGAUAUGAUUAUAAAAAAGAUUAUCAUUAUUUUAAUAUAAGAUGAUUUAAUUUUUUUAAAGUGAAAAAAAUUAUUUUUAAUGUAUAUAAUUAAAUUUAUAUUUUUUAUUAUAUUUUUAAAAAUUAUAUCAAUAAUUUUAAUUAUAUAAAUUUUUAAAAAAAUAAUUUUAAUUAAAAUUUUUUUUAUUUUAAUCAUUACAUAUAUCAAAUAUAAAAUAAAAUAAUAUUAUUUAAUUUAAAUUUUAUUCAUAAUAUCAUCUUAUUUUAUUAUAAUUUUAUAUACCAAAUAUAUCUUAAAAUCUGAUAUUUUACCAACAGUCCAUACUGAUCGCGUCCAUGAUAUUUUCUUACAUCAGUAAAGGCGGAAGAGAAACUGAAAGGAAUUAUCAAUUAUGUUUAUUUUAUAUUGUCAGGCUUACAACGCAAAGGUCUCUGAUUUUGGGUUGGCGACAGACGGUCCAGAGGGAGAAGAAACUCAUGUUACUACUUGCGUCAUGGGCACGGAAGGCUACGCGGCUCCUGAAUACAUAACGACUGGUACUAGAAUUCUUAUCUCAGUUUUGCUGUUAUCAUUUUUAAUUUAAUAAUAUUUGACAUGGAUUAAUGCGAUUUGUGAUUUUCCAGGGCAUUUGACGACUAUGAGCGAUGUGUUCAGCUUCGGAGUAGUACUUUUAGAGCUGCUGACAGGCAGGCGAUCUGUGGACAAGAGCCGACCUGGUCGAGAGAAGAACCUUGUGCAAUGGGCACGGCCUCUUUUGAAGGAUCCUUACAAACUUGAUGGAAUAAUGGACCCAAGACUUGAAGGACAGUAUUCAACUGAGGGGGCUAGGAAGGCUGCUGCAUUAGCUUAUCAGUGUCUGAGCAGCCACCCCAAAUCUAGACCAACUAUGAGCAAUGUGGUCAAGGCCUUAGAGCCUCUCUUUGACUUAACUGACAUCCCAACUGGACCCUUUGUAUACAUAGUUCCAACUCAAGCCUAUAACGAGCCUAUCGUGCAGAAGAUUGAAGAAAAAGAGGAAAAGCAAUGUGACGAGAUAAAAAUUGAAAAAAACGGUGGAGAGAAGGAAGAAAAGAUGGAGAAAAGCCGAGUACCGCGCCAAAAAGGUCGAAGGCGUAGACGUCAGGUUAAGCCAUCAAGGUCUCGGGCUGUCUAUUCGGACACUGAUUUGUAUAAAACGCUGGGAUCUAGUUUGUACUCUCCCAAGCACCAAAGAUAAUUAAGGCAAACAAGCAUACUUGUAAUCAGACUGCACAUUGAGGUUUCCAUUUUGUUUGUUGUUGGACUUAUUGUGUUUUGCCAUAGGGUCCUGAUCCAAUUUUUCCAGUGUUUCCAUAGCUUAUCCUAUGAAAGAAAGGCAUGGCUGUUUCUGCUUUGAAAACACAUGCCUUCGGUUUGUUCUCAUCCCCUUUGCCAGAAACAUCGAUCAGCCUAUGCUGUGGGCCAAAGAUAAAGGCUUGACGACAGAUUAUUUACGAUUCAUGCAUGUUAAUGUACAAUGUUCUAAAAUUUUUCACAAUAACUUCACAGGGUUUCUAUGCUUUUUUUUCUAAAACCAAUUCUGACUUUCCCUGAAACUUCUUGAAAGCAAUUGACUGCAAUUCAUUUUUUUUAGUGAUCUUAGUAAUCAGUGCAAACUUACCUAAAACUCUUCUGGAUUGUACGUUAAAUGGUCAAUAUUCCAUAAUCAGAUUAACUGACAAAUCUAGCUUAUGGCAUGUUCAAAGUCUUGUUAGCAAACCGAAAGGUGGUGACCACUUCCACGAGUCUGAUGCAGAGUUUCAAAAGUUGAGUUACAAAUUCUUUCGUGCUAGACUACCGCACAAGACUUUGCAAUUCCACCACUCCCACCAACCCCAUCCUCACCGUCUAGCCAGAUUCAGCGCACAUGUUUUUAGCCUUUCCCCGUUUUGAACGUUCCAUCUCUGGUUCAGAAGCCAGCCAGAUUCAUUGGUACUGAUGGAUGGUCGGCUCAAAAGGCAAAAAGAGUAUGCUCUUUUCUUUGUUGCUUGGGCUCAAAUCCAUUAGGAAAAAAAAAAGAGCUAAACACGAUAUAGAUAAGUCUAUUUAAACCGGUCUGAAAAGAAAAUGUACUUAGUAAAACCUAAAAAUCUCUUGCCGCUUAAUAAAAAUAACUUUUCAUUGUUAAUAAUUCCUAGUAAAAUAAGAAAUUAUACGAGAAUUUCCUGGAUUCAAGUAGAAAAAUGAGGCAAGGAACAAGCAUUAGCAGCAUAACUCGCCGGUUGUUAUCCAUCAUUAGUGUGAAAUCAAUAAGAAGGCCAACCAGAUAAAAUCUAUAUAUAUAUAUAUAUAUAUAUAUAGAUUCAACCAAUAGAUGUUUAAGUAAUGUUCAUGUUGCACCAACUUGCAUAAAAGAGGCUUUGAUUGAUAAAUCUUAUAUGUGUGAAAUCAAUGCAUCAAUGUUCAAAACGUGCAAUGAAAUAGAAAUCCCUCAACUCAUUGAAUGCUAAAUAAAUUUGUUAAUGGUGUUGAAUUGGUAAAAACUGUUAAUGUUGUUGAAUUGGUAAAAACCAUUUGCUCACUUUCAACUCACAAACCACAACACCAGCCAUUCAGACUGCAAAAUUUAUGCUGGAGGCUUCAAUAAUUGCAGUAAUAUGCAUAUAGGUGGAAAAAAUUAUGAUUCGUUGUUCAAAACAGUUUAAAACUAAAACUGUUAUCAAAAGUCAAAGCCUUGUAUGUGUCACAUGUCAAAAUUUUCUUACAAACUUCUAUAAAGCAGGCGCAAUUCCAAGGUUGCUGACAUUCAUAUAACCGUAUUUCAGAAGGUAUUUUCUUGUUUUUGAAUAUUAAACAUAAUUUAUCCUCAAUAUAGUUGAAAAAUUUUUUUUUUCUCAAUUUUCUAAUUAGAUAACGAACAGGUGAAUGCUCUGAUUCACCAGACAAGUACUAGAUGGGCAUUGAAGCAGUUAAUUUAUAGACAGAUUACCAAGUAGAUUUUCAGAAAGAACUUCAUCCAUCAAUGUCCUAAACUCAUUCUUAAAUGAGUCGCAAAAAGGAAAUAUGAACUUUUUGCUAAACCCAAGGCAUAUGAAUCUCCAUAUUAAAACAGGCUUGCCAGCAUACUAAUGCUUGUGGCUCUGCAUACUGGAACUUCAGGAAACUAGUUAACAUUAACCUUGUCCCAAGAAAAUAACCAUGAACAGCUUAAAUUGUCUUAUGAGAUUCUAUUUGACUCAUGCAGAUUCUUGGCUAGGCUUACAUUUUUCAUUUCAAUUUUUGGUACCUAAAUUCUAUUAUUGAAUCAUCAGAUGUACAGAGGGAGCAAGUAUUGAGAAUGUCUCUUUUAGAAGAAGAAGACUCAAUCCCAUCAAAAACAGAAAAAGAGCUCAAUAACAGGAAUAAAAAAAAUCAAUCAUCCAAUCAAAUUGUAAUUCAAGUUACAGCCAGCAUGAAGUAAAAAGAAAAACUCUAGAUAUAGCUAGAGAAUUAAUCUCUUUCUCUCACCUUACUAUCUUGAAAAGAAAAAUACUAAUCAACGAUACCUUAAAGGGUUUAAUCUUGAACAUUUGCUGCACAAACCAAGACUUGCCUGGUCAUUUUUCCCUCCCUUUCAGUACACCAGUAUUAGGCCAAUCACUGGUGAUUGGAGCCUCUGGUCCUUUUAGAUGCAGUAUCAAGCCCACAUUACAAGCCCAUUCUACAAGGCUUUGACCUGCGGUUCAAAGAUUCAUUUUGAUCAUCAGUUUCACCCAAAAGCAAUAAUCUAUACAGCCAUAAGUGAAAUAAAGAUCUGAGGAUCCACUGACAAGAUAUUCUAUGUAACAUCUGAUCAGGUGCAUUUGAUUCUUUUCCUUUAAUUCUCCUAAAAUAUUGAGUAAGCUUCUAAAACUCAAAUAAGUUGGAAGCUAAAGCGCAGCAGCAUGCCUUCAAUAACACUACUUUUUCUUUAGUUUUUCCCUUGCUUUUUCUGGAUAAGUUGUUCCUUUACUUCCAUCCUAAUUUUGAACUUGGAUCCAGUCAGAAUGAUACUUGUCAUCAUACGGAACAACCUUCCCAUCAGGGAAUGGUUCUCCUGUAAAAAACCAUACGCAUGUCAACACAAAAAAUGAAAAAUUCAUAUGUGCUUAAGACAUUGUAGAAAUGACCACAUUGUUGCUUGACACUCACUUCUUAUGAGGGCAGAAAGAAUUGUUUGUGAAUGAUAUUUAAAUGAAAUGGAAGGAAAAACCGCAGGCAUAUUAACAGAACAAAUGAAAACUCAUAGUACUAAAUAAGAAAACUAUCCAACUGCAGAGAGAAUUUGCUGCAAUUGUUAUAAAGGGAGACAGAAUAGCUCGUGUAUAAUAGGUUUCAAUCUAUCAAGGUUCACAAGAUGAGUGAAUUCAAUGCCAUUCAGAUCUACCAAGUGCAAUGGAAGACAAAUUCUUCUCCCAACACCAUAGUGAGUUACUGAUAUUGAUUGCUGGGCAAUAGAGCUUAACACCUAAGAAGGGUGAGGAUUAGUGGAUUACAACAAAAUAGGAGCUUCAUUUUGCUACAUAAAGGCAUAACAUAAGCAUCAAUGAUUGACUUCCUGCACAUGAGCUACCUCACUUCGAUGUCUCGAGUAUUUCAAAUUCUUGUUUAAUGAACACGAGCAGCACCAAUAAGUUCUAUUGAUAUGAAGAACAGAACUGAGCAAUUUCAUUGCUGUUAGAGGACAAAGGCCAAAUGGAGUAAUCCAUGAAAGGAGUUCACAAGUAGUCAACUAAGGAUGCAUCAUCAGAAAUGCUUAAAUGCAUUCUCUCCGAUGCCUUUCCAUUUAUCUUUCAAACUAUUUUCAAUCAUCCUCAGAAGAAACAAAGUGAAAUUAUUAGUCUGUUAGCCAGCAGUCAAGCAGAAGUAUAUCGAAAAAAAAAGAAAUCUACUAUCUUGAUAAAUUGCAUGUAAUUCAAUAUCUUAAUAACAGAAUAAUUUGCAUAAUGAGAAGCGAGUAAGACAAUGAAAAGCAAAAACCUUACCCCCAUAGCCAUUAUCACCAUGGCCUAAAUAAGAAUCUGGUAAAACCCAUUUCACAUUAGGCAAAGCUGCAAGCAACGAACACAAUUCUGUGCAACUUUACAAUCUUGAAAAAAGAAUGAAUUUUGAAAGGAAAACACAUGAAUAAAAUUGAAAAAGCUUACAUUUAAUUUUAAGAGUCAAAGCUUCCGGGACUUUGCAACCAAAUGCAUAGUAGUACUUGGUGGAAACAGAGUAUAUAGAUUUCUUGGCUUCCUCAUCACUGCGUGUUAAUACCAAAAUUUAAACAAAAAAAAAACCCCAUUUUUGGACUGCAAAAAGAAAAAAAAAGGAAAAAGCAUGGAUUUUUACCUUCCCAAAGCCAUUGCUAAGGUCUUAAUGUAAAUGUUGACGAUCUCAUCUCCAAGUGGAUAUCCCUUGAGAGCCUCCAUUACCACGAACCAGUGUUCAUAGUCACAUCCCUCCACCGAACUGGGGUCCGAGUCAACUCGGUCCUUGCAAGAAGCACUGAGUUAUUAGAUCCCGAGUCGCCGGAGAAGUAAAUUGUGAUGAUAUUAGACGGAUAGGCUGAGAAACGGCGACGGGUUAGCUUUUGAACGACGCUUGACAACAUUUUUCUACGUUUGGGGGAUUUUUGUUAAUUGCUAAUGAUUUUCUAUUUUCCUUUCUUUUUAUUUCUCAUCUUAUAAAUUCAAUCAAAAUAAAAAUGUUAUAGUUCUCAUCUCACAUUUCUAAAUUCAUUUAAAUACAUAUUAUAAAAUUGUAUUAAUAAUAUUAUUAAAAAUUAAAUUCAAAAUUAAAUUUAAUUAAUUUAUAUUUACAUAAUAAUUUUAAAUAACAUCCAUAAAUUUAAAAUUUAAUGAUCACAAAAUUUUUUUAUCAAUUAUUAAAAUAAUAAAUUGGGUCAAGCUUUAAAAUCUAAGUUUAGACCCGAUCCCAAAAUUUAUUGGUCUAAAAUGUUUUGCCAAGCUUGGAGCAACAUAUAAAACAAAACACCCCUGAUUUUGAUUAUGAUGUCAAACAAAUAUAAUAAAAUAUAAAAAUUAUUUUUUGAAAAUUUUAAAGUAAACGUAGCUGAAUAUUAUUGAUAAUUUAUCUGUAAUUACUAAGGUAAAAAUGUAAUAAAAAAGACAACUGGAUUUGGAGAGGCUAAGUCAACUUGCAUUAAAUACACGCCUGCCAUUAUUAAAAAAAAAAAAAAAAAGAAGAAGCUGAUUUAUUUUACAAGACCAACGCCAGUUACCAUUAUUAUUAUUUUUUCUCGUACUACCUUAUAGUCUCAGUUGUUCUAAAGAGACUCUAUCACUGAGCGUACAUAUGAAGUGGGAGCCUAGGCUCUGCCACAACCUCAAGUGGGUACUUUCUAGGGGUGGAGAGCCCGAAGAUUUCCUCCAUGUUGAGAUCUUCUUUCGUCAUGUUACCAGGCAAUUUCCAAGUGAACCCAUGUAAAAGAUUAGCCAAACUUGCUUGAAUGACCUUAAUCCCG
Molecule: long non-coding RNA, 23000 nt
Filed under: Durio zibethinus
Lineage: Eukaryota; Viridiplantae; Streptophyta; Magnoliopsida; Malvales; Malvaceae
Description: long non-coding RNA (DZIB_LNC001499)
Source: RNAcentral